Molecule: ribosomal RNA, 399 nt
Filed under: Halobacillus trueperi
Lineage: Bacteria; Bacillati; Bacillota; Bacilli; Caryophanales; Bacillaceae
Description: bacterial SSU rRNA
Rfam family: Bacterial small subunit ribosomal RNA
Source: RNAcentral
CAGGUCUUGACAUCCUUGGACAAUCCUAGAGAUAGGACUUUCCCUUCGGGGACCAAGUGACAGGUGGUGCAUGGUUGUCGUCAGCUCGUGUCGUGAGAUGUUGGGUUAAGUCCCGCAACGAGCGCAACCCCUAAUCUUAGUUGCCAGCAUUCAGUUGGGCACUCUAAGGUGACUGCCGGUGACAAACCGGAGGAAGGCGGGGAUGACGUCAAAUCAUCAUGCCCCUUAUGACCUGGGCUACACACGUGCUACAAUGGAUGGUACAAAGGGCAGCGAAGCCGCGAGGUGUAGCAAAUCCCAUAAAACCAUUCUCAGUUCGGAUUGCAGGCUGCAACUCGCCUGCAUGAAGCCGGAAUCGCUAGUAAUCGCGGAUCAGCAUGCCGCGGUGAAUACGUUCCC